RNAcentral lists this ribosomal RNA (1709 nucleotides) under Salmonella enterica. Its description in RNAcentral is "partial 23S ribosomal RNA". It matches the Rfam family "Bacterial large subunit ribosomal RNA", at positions 1196 to 2802 of the family's 2925-position model. Lineage: Bacteria; Pseudomonadati; Pseudomonadota; Gammaproteobacteria; Enterobacterales; Enterobacteriaceae. The record is from RNAcentral.
GAAGCUGCGGCAGCGAACGUAUCACCCAAGACAACUUUACGGAGUUGACGAUUGACGGAGCGAAGCGACGUCAAAGCGUUCAUUAAAGUCGAGUUGGCUUAGGGAUACGUUCGUUGGGUAGGGGAGCGUUCUGUAAGCCUGUGAAGGUGUGUCGUGAGGCAUGCUGGAGGUAUCAGAAGUGCGAAUGCUGACAUAAGUAACGAUAAAGCGGGUGAAAAGCCCGCUCGCCGGAAGACCAAGGGUUCCUGUCCAACGUUAAUCGGGGCAGGGUGAGUCGACCCCUAAGGCGAGGCCGAAAGGCGUAGUCGAUGGGAAACGGGUUAAUAUUCCCGUACUUGGUGUUACUGCGAAGGGGGGACGGAGAAGGCUAUGUUGGCCGGGCGACGGUUGUCCCGGUUUAAGCGUGUAGGUGUGUGUUCCAGGUAAAUCCGGUUCACUUUAACACUGAGGCGUGACGACGAGGCACUACGGUGCUGAAGCAACAAAUGCCCUGCUUCCAGGAAAAGCCUCUAAGCAUCAGGUAACAUCAAAUCGUACCCCAAACCGACACAGGUGGUCAGGUAGAGAAUACCAAGGCGCUUGAGAGAACUCGGGUGAAGGAACUAGGCAAAAUGGUGCCGUAACUUCGGGAGAAGGCACGCUGACACGUAGGUGAAGUGAUUUACUCAUGGAGCUGAAGUCAGUCGAAGAUACCAGCUGGCUGCAACUGUUUAUUAAAAACACAGCACUGUGCAAACACGAAAGUGGACGUAUACGGUGUGACGCCUGCCCGGUGCCGGAAGGUUAAUUGAUGGGGUCAGCGCAAGCGAAGCUCCUGAUCGAAGCCCCGGUAAACGGCGGCCGUAACUAUAACGGUCCUAAGGUAGCGAAAUUCCUUGUCGGGUAAGUUCCGACCUGCACGAAUGGCGUAAUGAUGGCCAGGCUGUCUCCACCCGAGACUCAGUGAAAUUGAACUCGCUGUGAAGAUGCAGUGUACCCGCGGCAAGACGGAAAGACCCCGUGAACCUUUACUAUAGCUUGACACUGAACAUUGAGCCUUGAUGUGUAGGAUAGGUGGGAGGCUUUGAAGUGUGGACGCCAGUCUGCAUGGAGCCGACCUUGAAAUACCACCCUUUAAUGUUUGAUGUUCUAACGUGGACCCGUAAUCCGGGUUGCGGACAGUGUCUGGUGGGUAGUUUGACUGGGGCGGUCUCCUCCUAAAGAGUAACGGAGGAGCACGAAGGUUGGCUAAUCCUGGUCGGACAUCAGGAGGUUAGUGCAAUGGCAUAAGCCAGCUUGACUGCGAGCGUGACGGCGCGAGCAGGUGCGAAAGCAGGUCAUAGUGAUCCGGUGGUUCUGAAUGGAAGGGCCAUCGCUCAACGGAUAAAAGGUACUCCGGGGAUAACAGGCUGAUACCGCCCAAGAGUUCAUAUCGACGGCGGUGUUUGGCACCUCGAUGUCGGCUCAUCACAUCCUGGGGCUGAAGUAGGUCCCAAGGGUAUGGCUGUUCGCCAUUUAAAGUGGUACGCGAGCUGGGUUUAGAACGUCGUGAGACAGUUCGGUCCCUAUCUGCCGUGGGCGCUGGAGAACUGAGGGGGGCUGCUCCUAGUACGAGAGGACCGGAGUGGACGCAUCACUGGUGUUCGGGUUGUCAUGCCAAUGGCACUGCCCGGUAGCUAAAUGCGGAAGAGAUAAGUGCUGAAAGCAUCUAAGCACGAAACUUGCCCCGA